This 292-nucleotide ribosomal RNA is filed under the name uncultured bacterium. RNAcentral's name for it is "partial 16S ribosomal RNA". It matches the Rfam family "Bacterial small subunit ribosomal RNA", at positions 505 to 796 of the family's 1533-position model. The record is from RNAcentral.
GUGCCAGCAGCCGCGGUAAUACGUAGGCAGCGAGCGUUGUUCGGAGUUACUGGGCGUAAAGAGUGCGUAGGCGGUUUUCUAAGUUUGGUGUGAAAUCUCCCGGCUUAACUGGGAGGGUGCGCCGAAGACUGGAAGGCUUGAGUAUGGGAGAGGUAAGCGGAAUUCCUGGUGUAGCGGUGAAAUGCGUAGAUAUCAGGAGGAACACCUGCGGUGUAGACGGCUUACUGGACCAUAACUGACGCUGAGGCACGAAAGCGUGGGUAGCAAACAGGAUUAGAUACCCCCGUAGUCC